This 439-nucleotide ribosomal RNA is filed under the name uncultured bacterium. Its description in RNAcentral is "partial 16S ribosomal RNA". It matches the Rfam family "Bacterial small subunit ribosomal RNA", at positions 339 to 795 of the family's 1533-position model. The record is from RNAcentral.
CUACGGGAGGCACCAGUGGGGAAUCUUAGACAAUGGGGGAAACCCUGAUCUAGCCAUGCCGCGUGAGCGACGACGGCCCUAGGGUUGUAAAGCUCUUUCAGCAGGGAAGAUAAUGACGGUACCUGCAGAAGAAGUCCCGGCUAACUCCGUGCCAGCAGCCGCGGUAAUACGGAGGGGACUAGCGUUGUUCGGAAUUACUGGGCGUAAAGCGCGCGUAGGCGGAUUGUUAAGUCGGGGGUGAAAUCCCGGGGCUCAACCCCGGAACUGCCCUCGAUACUGGCAGUCUUGAGUUCGAGAGAGGUGAGUGGAAUUCUGAGUGUGGAGGUGAAAUUCGUAGAUAUUCGGAGGAACACCAGUGGCGAAGGCGGCUCACUGGCUCGAUACUGACGCUGAGGUGCGAAAGCGUGGGGAGCAAACAGGAUUAGAUACCCGUGUAGUC